UGUGGGUGGUGGAAGAGAAACUCUAAACUGUACAGAAUCAGAAAGUUCAGUCAUCAAACCCAUAAAACCAUAAGAGGAUUCCAUUAGAACAACAACGUGUAAAAAUAGAAGCUCCUUUCUAGCAGGCAUUUGCUUCAAUGCACAGGGCAGGCCGGAUUCUUAACCACCACACUCUCCUUCCUCUCUGAGCAGCCUGCAUUUGUCCCGCCCUGGAGGAGAGGCAAAGACUAAAAAGCCAUCCCUUUACCAAGGGGGCUCACAUCCUGAGGAAUAAGGUGAUACAGAGGAAUGAUGUCGUGCUGCCCAAGGUUACUCUUUCCAUGGUCCCAUCUGGGACAGUGGAGGUCACCAGGAUGUACCUUGUCGACCCCGUUCUGCAGACCAUAGAUAAUGCACCUAUGGUAGCCCCAACUGCCGGGCUGAGCCGAGGCCACGCCCCCAGAGAAAGCUCCCAGCCAAUGAGUGCACAUGUAGGGGCUCUAAGGAGGGCCUGCCCAUUCCUAGGAGACCCAGGGCUCCCAGCAUGGUUGACCUGGGUAUGAGGAUGCCCCAUCAUCAUUGUUCUUGUAUCAAUACUGUCCACCCAUAGCCUUCUCUCCUCCUUUUCCUGUCACUCAAGGUCAAGGUCUGAUAACUCUUCCAGCCUGGUCAGGCUUCCUCUUUGUUUUCCUUCUCAUUGGCAUUUCCUCUAAUAAAAUCCCUGAAUGUUUAAUCCUGUCUUAGUCUGCUUUUGGAGAAUUUGGACUAAUGCAUUGAACUUAUGGAGGUUCAGUCACCUCUUUUUAAAGGGGACGAAACUCAGGACCAAGGACAAAAAGAAUGUCCAAAGUCAGGCCAGGCACAGUGGCUCACAACUGUAAUUCCAGCACUUUGGGAGGCUGAGGUGGCUGGAUCAUGAGGUCAGGAGUUUGAGACCAGCAUGAACCACAUGGUGAAACCCUGUCUCUACUAAAAAUACAAAAAUUAGCCAGGCGUUUUGGCACGUGCCUGUAGUCCCAGUUACUCGGGAGGAUGAGGCAGGAGAAUCACUGGAACCAAGAAGGAGGAGGUUGCAAUGAGCUGAGAUAAUAACACUGCGCUCCAGCCUGGGAAACAGCACGAGAUUCUGUCUCAAAAAAAAAAAAAAAGAAAAGAAAAGAAUGCCUAAGGUCAGUGGGGGAAAUGGCAGCAGAGCUGGGAUCGGAAUUUCGUCUCCUGACUCACUCAGAUAAAGCUUGGUGUGGUGCAUGAUCUGACACGACGUUGGGGAGGAGUUUCAGGAUGAUAGGGUAUUCAGAGGGGAAACUAGGGAGCUGGUUGUGGGACAGUCUGGGGGAAGGGUUAGUGCAGGGUCCCGACAGAGGGAAGGGUUAGUGCAGGGUCCCAGGGCAAGAGUGGCCCUGCAGUGUUUAAUGGAAGUAGACUGGGUCUCCUAUAAGGUUCAUGAGGGAUAGGGGUGCCGGGAGUCAAGAGGUGAUGUCAGUGGGGAGGACAGGGCUGCUGCCCUAGACCCAGGCAGGAGUUCAGAUUUUUUUCUAAAUGGAGUGGGGCCCCAUUUGAAUGCUUUAAGUUGAAGCCUGCUGUGACCCAACUUACAUUUUGAAGCCACUCUGGCCAUCAUGGGAAGGAUGCACAGAGAGAAUGCUGCACCUGUUAUGAGCCUGGUGCUCACUUCUAAAUAAGGAAGCCGGAUCAGGGUCAGGAGGCUGCUGCUGUGCCCAGGUGAGAGAGACAGCUUUGGCUUAGGCCUUGCAGAGUGAGAUGCAACGGUCAAACUGCAGAGGGAAUGCUAGGAGAAUUACACUGUGUGGAACUGGAUGAUGGAGCCAAUGAUGAGGUGUGGCGGGGGGGUGUGGAUAAAGAAUCUGAGUGUCCCAGGUUUCUUGGCUGCUUGUGUAUUCACUAAGAAAUGGUCAUUGAGACUUUACACUUCCAGAAACUCUGUGGGAUACUGACAUAGAAAGGGCUUCUCUGAUCAAAAGCUGCAUGUAGUGACUCACACCUGUAGUCCCAGCACCUUGGGAGGCCGAGGCAGGAGGAUCACUUGAGCCCAGAAUUUCAAGACCAGCCUGGGUAAGGUGAGAUCCUGUCUCUAUGAAAAAUAUAUUAAAAAUUAGCUGGG
Callithrix jacchus (white-tufted-ear marmoset) is the source of this 2101-nucleotide long non-coding RNA. RefSeq lists it as uncharacterized. The record is from RefSeq and is a predicted model, not a curated record. Lineage: Eukaryota; Metazoa; Chordata; Mammalia; Primates; Cebidae.